Aegilops tauschii subsp. strangulata is the source of this 271-nucleotide non-coding RNA. NCBI's taxonomy places the organism in Eukaryota, Viridiplantae, Streptophyta, Magnoliopsida, Poales, Poaceae. The record is from RefSeq and is a predicted model, not a curated record.
CUAGUGUUCACGCUGCUUAGGUUCACACUUUGGAAUUUCUCCUCGACGGUUAGAAGAAAAGAAGAAGAUCCAGAGAAGAUCUUAGUAAUAAGAUAGUUUUUAGGAAAAUAGAUAUUUAGUUUUAGGUCAUUUCUUGUAAUUUUAGAUAUGGAGUGCUUGUCUUUAGUUUUUGUUUCGACUUUGUGAAACUUGCUACCUAUUGAUGAAACUAUGUAUAUGUAUGGAUGAAACUUCCUACUAUUGGUAACAUGCGUUGGAUAUGUGUUGGAUA